AUUCUCUCCUUUAAAAAAUUAAGGAAUACUUUGAAAGAAAGAAACUUAAGUCAAAAAUGAAGCUCCUGGAAGUAUCGUCUCCUAAAAGUUCAGCAGUCAGUUUGGAUCUUCUUAAUCUAUAUGUGGUUAACCAGAUGUCAACCAAAAAAGAAAACACUGGUUACAAAAGCAAGUUUUGGAAAGCAGAAGACAACAUCUCUCAGAAAAAGUAAAACACCAGCAUAAGCUCAUUCCACAAGUAAUGGAAUUAGGCUAUGUUGAUUCUAGUAUGGAAAAUGAAGACGACUUGGCAAGAGUUUUUAGUGCUUGUCCAUUGCCCUCCUCUGGUUUUCAGUUCUCUAACUGUACACAGCUUUCAGAAGAAAAUUUCAACACAAAACUAAUGGGCAAUGUUUGGGAACAGAUCUAUGAAAAAAAGCUGCAAAACCAGCCAGGUAACAGCUUUGAUCGAGACCCUUGGAAUACAAACCCUCCAAGCCAGUGUAUUUUGAGGAAGUCUGAUACAGUGCCUCAGGAGCUGUUCAAGCCAUUUGAUAACUCAUUGCCUACCCCCAGGCCAGACUACAUGAAUUCUGCCAGGAAAAAUCCAGUGAUAAUAGCCAGUAAUGAAUCAGAAAACUAUGAAGGAAUAAAAGAACCAAUAUUUGAUGUUGUGAAAGAAACUGCAGGAUUGAAAGAUGGAAGUGGUUGUUCCUUUCUGGCACUAUUUGAAGAAGAGAGUCAACCAAUCCAUAAUAAUUCUUCCACCAAGCAUUUUAAUUUUUUUUCUAACCAAAGGAAUAAUGACCUUUUUUUCACUGUUCCUGAUGUUCGAAAUCAAAUUACCAACAGAAAUUAUUCUUGCAACACUAGAAGGGUUUAUCCUGGAAUCAAUGCAAAAGAAGAUUCUGUAGACAGACACCUUGAAGGCAUUUUCACAGCUCCAGAACAGGUUUUCCUUAAAAGUAAUAAUGUGUCAAGUACAAGCUACAAGGAAACAAGUGCACUUCAUAAAACACACCGGCAGAACUGUCAUGAGGGACAGCACUACUUCGUGCCCUGUGAACAGAGAGAAAGAAGAGCAAACCUUGAAAAAAUUGAGACAUUUGCUUAUUACCAUGAUCAGCAGAAUAUCUUAAAGGAGAAUGUGCAGAAUUAUUCAAGAAAAAAAAGUGACGACAAGUCUGUGAAGGAAACAUCCUGGAACCAGAACCAUGUCUUUGUAUUUGAAGAGUUCACAACAGCACAAGAGAAAGGGUAUAAGUUUGGACUGAGUUCAUAUCUUCAAGAGAUGGAUGUGGACUCACCACUCAGCAGCCAGUCUUACAGUUACUCUCCAAGGCAGACUGAGAGCUGUUUGAGCUCUAGUCCUGACACAGUGAGUAAAUCCUUGUGGGCUGGCAGG
RNAcentral lists this long non-coding RNA (1384 nucleotides) under Zonotrichia albicollis (white-throated sparrow). Its description in RNAcentral is "lncRNA (ENSZALG00000005415.1)". The record is from RNAcentral. Lineage: Eukaryota; Metazoa; Chordata; Aves; Passeriformes; Passerellidae.